GGGUUGUGAGGUUAAGCGACUAAGCGUACACGGUGGAUGCCCUGGCAGUCAGAGGCGAUGAAGGACGUGCUAAUCUGCGAAAAGCGUCGGUAAGGUGAUAUGAACCGUUAUAACCGGCGAUGUCCGAAUGGGGAAACCCAGUGUGAUUCGUCACACUAUCGUUAACUGAAUACAUAGGUUAACGAGGCGAACCGGGGGAACUGAAACAUCUAAGUACCCCGAGGAAAAGAAAUCAACCGAGAUUCCCCCAGUAGCGGCGAGCGAACGGGGAGCAGCCCAGAGUCUGAAUCAGCUUGUGUGUUAGUGGAACGGUCUGGAAAGUCCGACGGUACAGGGUGAUAGUCCCGUACACCAAAAUGCACAGGUUGUGAACUCGAAGAGUAGGGCGGGACACGUGGUAUCCUGUCUGAAUAUGGGGGGACCAUCCUCCAAGGCUAAAUACUCCUGACUGACCGAUAGUGAACCAGUACCGUGAGGGAAAGGCGAAAAGAACCCCGGCGAGGGGAGUGAAAAAGAACCUGAAACCGUGUACGUACAAGCAGUGGGAGCACCUUCGGGUGUGACUGCGUACCUUUUGUAUAAUGGGUCAGCGACUUAUAUUCUGUAGCAAGGUUAACCGUAUAGGGGAGCCGCAGGGAAACCGAGUCUUAACUGGGCGUUAAGUUGCAGGGUAUAGACCCGAAACCCGGUGAUCUAGCCAUGGGCAGGUUGAAGGUUGGGUAACACUAACUGGAGGACCGAACCGACUAAUGUUGAAAAAUUAGCGGAUGACUUGUGGCUGGGGGUGAAAGGCCAAUCAAACCGGGAGAUAGCUGGUUCUCCCCGAAAGCUAUUUAGGUAGCGCCUCGUGAAUUCAUCUUCGGGGGUAGAGCACUGUUUCGGCUAGGGGGUCAUCCCGACUUACCAACCCGAUGCAAACUACGAAUACCGAAGAAUGUUAUCACGGGAGACACACGGCGGGUGCUAACGUCCGUCGUGAAGAGGGAAACAACCCAGACCGCCAGCUAAGGUCCCAAAGUCAUGGUUAAGUGGGAAACGAUGUGGGAAGGCACAGACAGCCAGGAUGUUGGCUUAGAAGCAGCCAUCAUUUAAAGAAAGCGUAAUAGCUCACUGGUCGAGUCGGCCUGCGCGGAAGAUGUAACGGGGCUAAACCAUGCACCGAAGCUGCGGCAGCGACACUAUGUGUUGUUGGGUAGGGGAGCGUUCUGUAAGCCUGCGAAGGUGACCUGUGAGGGUUGCUGGAGGUAUCAGAAGUGCGAAUGCUGACAUAAGUAACGAUAAAGCGGGUGAAAAGCCCGCUCGCCGGAAGACCAAGGGUUCCUGUCCAACGUUAAUCGGGGCAGGGUGAGUCGACCCCUAAGGCGAGGCCGAAAGGCGUAGUCGAUGGGAAACAGGUUAAUAUUCCUGUACUUGGUGUUACUGCGAAGGGGGGACGGAGAAGGCUAUGUUAGCCGGGCGACGGUUGUCCCGGUUUAAGCAUGUAGGCUGGUUAUCCAGGCAAAUCCGGAUAAUCAAGGCUGAGGUGUGAUGACGAGGCACUACGGUGCUGAAGUAACAAAUGCCCUGCUUCCAGGAAAAGCCUCUAAGCAUCAGGUAACAUCAAAUCGUACCCCAAACCGACACAGGUGGUCAGGUAGAGAAUACCAAGGCGCUUGAGAGAACUCGGGUGAAGGAACUAGGCAAAAUGGUGCCGUAACUUCGGGAGAAGGCACGCUGGUGUGUAGGUGAAGUCCCUGCGGAUGGAGCUGAGACCAGUCGAAGAUACCAGCUGGCUGCAACUGUUUAUUAAAAACACAGCACUGUGCAAACACGAAAGUGGACGUAUACGGUGUGACGCCUGCCCGGUGCCGGAAGGUUAAUUGAUGGGGUUAUCCGUAAGGAGAAGCUCUUGAUCGAAGCCCCGGUAAACGGCGGCCGUAACUAUAACGGUCCUAAGGUAGCGAAAUUCCUUGUCGGGUAAGUUCCGACCUGCACGAAUGGCGUAAUGAUGGCCAGGCUGUCUCCACCCGAGACUCAGUGAAAUUGAACUCGCUGUGAAGAUGCAGUGUACCCGCGGCAAGACGGAAAGACCCCGUGAACCUUUACUAUAGCUUGACACUGAACAUUGAGCCUUGAUGUGUAGGAUAGGUGGGAGGCUUUGAAGCGUGGACGCCAGUCUGCGUGGAGCCAACCUUGAAAUACCACCCUUUAAUGUUUGAUGUUCUAACGUUGGCCCCUUACCGGGGUUGCGGACAGUGUCUGGUGGGUAGUUUGACUGGGGCGGUCUCCUCCCAAAGCGUAACGGAGGAGCACGAAGGUUAGCUAAUCCUGGUCGGACAUCAGGAGGUUAGUGCAAUGGCAUAAGCUAGCUUGACUGCGAGCGUGACGGCGCGAGCAGGUGCGAAAGCAGGUCAUAGUGAUCCGGUGGUUCUGAAUGGAAGGGCCAUCGCUCAACGGAUAAAAGGUACUCCGGGGAUAACAGGCUGAUACCGCCCAAGAGUUCAUAUCGACGGCGGUGUUUGGCACCUCGAUGUCGGCUCAUCACAUCCUGGGGCUGAAGUAGGUCCCAAGGGUAUGGCUGUUCGCCAUUUAAAGUGGUACGCGAGCUGGGUUUAGAACGUCGUGAGACAGUUCGGUCCCUAUCUGCCGUGGGCGCUGGAGAAUUGAGGGGGGCUGCUCCUAGUACGAGAGGACCGGAGUGGACGCAUCACUGGUGUUCGGGUUGUCAUGCCAAUGGCACUGCCCGGUAGCUAAAUGCGGAAGAGAUAAGUGCUGAAAGCAUCUAAGCACGAAACUUGCCCCGAGAUGAGUUCUCCCUGAGACUUUAAGUCUCCUGAAGGAACGUU
Molecule: ribosomal RNA, 2825 nt
Filed under: Klebsiella pneumoniae
Lineage: Bacteria; Pseudomonadati; Pseudomonadota; Gammaproteobacteria; Enterobacterales; Enterobacteriaceae
Description: partial 23S ribosomal RNA
Rfam family: Bacterial large subunit ribosomal RNA
Source: RNAcentral